Homo sapiens (human) is the source of this 1414-nucleotide long non-coding RNA. Ensembl annotates it as long intergenic non-protein coding RNA 963. Lineage: Eukaryota; Metazoa; Chordata; Mammalia; Primates; Hominidae. The record is from Ensembl.
AAACACCCCUCCCCUGUUUCUGGCAGGAGCCGUCCUCACUCCCUCUAUUGCCUCUCCAGACCCAGACUUCACCCUCAGGUCACCCUCACCUGGACUUUGGGGUGCCCCACACCCCGCCCCAGGCCCUGGCCUCUGGAAUAUUUGGAAACUUGAACUGGGCCAGAGGCUUAAGCUCACAUCUGUCUGGAGCCUCAACUUUCUCCUCUGUAAAAUGGGCUAACACUGAAAGAACCUUGCAGAAUCUCAGCAACGUCACAGAGGACAUUGUUAGCACAGCCAGCGGGCUCCUGCUGGGCUGAGUUUGUGGGUAAUCCAAGCCUCGGCAGGUACAGUUCCUCCCUCAGCCCAGUGCAGAUGCAUCUGACUUACGAAACUUCAGUGACACCUGCUCUGUGCCAGACACUGAAGAUGGAGCAGUGAACAGCACUGACCCAGCCUGUCCUCCUGUUGCCUGCAGGCCAGAAGCAAGGUCUCGCUGUGUUACCCUGGCUGGAGUGCAGUGGCUACUUACAGGCAUGAUCAUAGCAUACUGCAGCCUCGAACUCCUGGACUAGAGCAGUUCUCCUGCCUCAGCCUCCAGAGCAGCUGGGACUGCAGACACGCACCACAGAGCCCAGCCUGAGUCAUUUUGAUUCUGUAACUGGCUUCCUCUCGGCGGGCAGGCUCACACCCUCCACCCCCAGCUGGAGAUGGAAGGAGGAUGCUCACCGCCCAUUCCUCAUGCAGGCCAUCGAUGGAAAUGUCAGACAGUGCGAGUCCACGCCUGAACACUUCUGGGGUCCGCUCUGGGACUGACACUGGCAGAUCCAUCGGUGAGCUCCCGCCUGCCACCUCUGGGCCUGCAUUGCGGUGAUAGGGCCAAGGGCCUGGGCCUUCAAUUCUCCAGACUUGCCAAAAUGCUCAGCGCAGGCCUCGUCGGCAACUGCAGACAAGCAGAGGCAGCACCUGGGCUCUGCCUGUGCCUGGCACAGUGAAGCGAGGGUGGGGGCAGGAAUGAGGGUCCUCUCCAUGCAAGGGGGGAAGAUAGAAGAACAAAAUUUCACCCUAAUGUAGUGUCUUUAGACCGUGCAAUGUUGUGCUCCUGUUAGUCUGAUAUCAGGGGCUUGCAGCCUGGCAAAGGAAAAAAAACAGGCUGAGGCACAUGAUAGAAGACAGGCAGGGAUGCCACAAUCAUAACCAUGGCAAAGACCAGGAUCAGAAAGGCCCACCAUCUCUGACCCCAAAUCCCUGGGCAGAUGGUUCCAGAACUCAGAAUUUUCCCAGUUGUAGAAAGAUGGGGCCAGGUGCAGUGGCUCACGCCUGUAAUCCCAGCAUUUUGGGAGUACAAGGUGGGCGGAUCACCUGAGGUCAGGAGUUCGAGACCAGCCUGGCCAACAUGGUGAAACCCUGUCUCUACUAAAAAAAAAAAAAAAAA